ACCGUGGUAAUUCUAGAGCUAAUACAUGCUAAAAACCUCGACUUCGGAAGGGGUGUAUUUAUUAGAUAAAAAACCAGCGCCCUUCGGGGCUCCUUGGUGAUUCAUAAUAACUAAACGAAUCGCAUGGCCUUGCGCCGGCGAUGGUUCAUUCAAAUUUCUGCCCUAUCAACUUUCGAUGGUAGGAUAGUGGCCUACCAUGGUAUCAACGGGUAACGGGGAAUUAGGGUUCUAUUCCGGAGAGGGAGCCUGAGAAACGGCUACCACAUCCAAGGAAGGCAGCAGGCGCGCAAAUUACCCAAUCCCGACACGGGGAGGUAGUGACAAUAAAUACUGAUACAGGGCUCUUUUGGGUCUUGUAAUUGGAAUGAGUACAAUUUAAAUCCCUUAACGAGGAACAAUUGGAGGGCAAGUCUGGUGCCAGCAGCCGCGGUAAUUCCAGCUCCAAUAGCGUAUAUUAAAGUUGUUGCAGUUAAAAAGCUCGUAGUUGAACCUUGGGCCUGGCUGGCCGGUCCGCCUCACCGCGUGUACUGGUCCGGCCGGGCCUUUCCUUCUGGGGAGCCGCAUGCCCUUCACUGGGCGUGUCGGGGAACCAGAACUUUUACUUUGAAAAAAUUAGAGUGUUCAAAGCAGGCCUUUGCUCGAAUACAUUAGCAUGGAAUAAUAGAAUAGGACGUGCGGUUCUAUUUUGUUGGUUUCUAGGACCGCCGUAAUGAUUAAUAGGGAUAGUCGGGGGCAUCAGUAUUCAAUUGUCAGAGGUGAAAUUCUUGGAUUUAUUGAAGACUAACUACUGCGAAAGCAUUUGCCAAGGAUGUUUUCAUUAAUCAGUGAACGAAAGUUAGGGGAUCGAAGACGAUCAGAUACCGUCGUAGUCUUAACCAUAAACUA
This 885-nucleotide ribosomal RNA is filed under the name fungal endophyte. RNAcentral's name for it is "SSU rRNA". It matches the Rfam family "Eukaryotic small subunit ribosomal RNA", at positions 146 to 1039 of the family's 1831-position model. The record is from RNAcentral. Lineage: Eukaryota; Fungi.